GACGAACGCUGGCGGCAUGCUUAACACAUGCAAGUCGAACGGAAAGGCCCUGCUUUUGUGGGGUGCUCGAGUGGCGAACGGGUGAGUAACACGUGAGUAACCUGCCCUUGACUUUGGGAUAACUUCAGGAAACUGGGGCUAAUACCGGAUAGGAGCUCCUGCUACAUGGUGGGGGUUGGAAAGUUUCGGCGGUUGGGGAUGGACUCGCGGCUUAUCAGCUUGUUGGUGGGGUAGUGGCUUACCAAGGCUUUGACGGGUAGCCGGCCUGAGAGGGUGACCGGCCACAUUGGGACGGAGAGACGGCCCAGACUCCUACGGGAGGCAGCAGUGGGGAAUAUUGCACAAUGGGCGGAAGCCUGAUGCAGCAACGCCGCGUGCGGGAUGACGGCCUUCGGGUUGUAAACCGCUUUCGCCUGUGACGAAGCGUGAGUGACGGUAAUGGGUAAAGAAGCACCGGCUAACUACGU
This 467-nucleotide ribosomal RNA is filed under the name uncultured bacterium. RNAcentral's name for it is "partial 16S ribosomal RNA". It matches the Rfam family "Bacterial small subunit ribosomal RNA", at positions 28 to 506 of the family's 1533-position model. The record is from RNAcentral.